RNAcentral lists this ribosomal RNA (719 nucleotides) under uncultured bacterium. RNAcentral's name for it is "bacterial SSU rRNA". It matches the Rfam family "Bacterial small subunit ribosomal RNA", at positions 86 to 825 of the family's 1533-position model. The record is from RNAcentral.
UUUAUCUUAGUGGCGCACGGGUGAGUAAUGUAUAGCUAAUCUGCCCUAUGCAGGAGGACAACAGUUAGAAAUGACUGCUAAUACUCCAUACUCCUUCUUAACAUAAGUUAAGUCGGGAAAGUUUUUCGGCAUAGGAUGAGGCUAUAUUGUAUCAGCUAGUUGGUGAGGUAAUGGCUCACCAAGGCUAUGACGCAUAACUGGUCUGAGAGGAUGAUCAGUCACACUGGAACUGAGACACGGUCCAGACUCCUACGGGAGGCAGCAGUAGGGAAUAUUGCUCAAUGGGGGAAACCCUGAAGCAGCAACGCCGCGUGGAGGAUGACACUUUUCGGAGCGUAAACUCCUUUUGUUAGGGAAGAACCAUGACGGUACCUAACGAAUAAGCACCGGCUAACUCCGUGCCAGCAGCCGCGGUAAUACGGGGGGUGCAAGCGUUACUCGGAAUCACUGGGCGUAAAGGACGCGUAGGCGGAUUAUCAAGUCUCUUGUGAAAUCCUAUGGCUUAACCAUAGAACUGCUUGGGAAACUGAUAAUCUAGAGUGAGGGAGAGGCAGAUGGAAUUGGUGGUGUAGGGGUAAAAUCCGUAAAGAUCACCAGGAAUACCCAUUGCGAAGGCGAUCUGCUGGAACUCAACUGACGCUAAGGCGUGAAAGCGUGGGGAGCAAACAGGAUUAGAUACCCUGGUAGUCCACGCCCUAAACGAUGUAUACUAGUUGUUG